GACGAACGCUGGCGGCGUGCUUAACACAUGCAAGUCGAGCGGAAAGGCCACUUCGGUGGUACUCGAGCGGCGAACGGGUGAGUAACACGUGAGUAAUCUGCCCCUGGCUUUGGGAUAGCCACCGGAAACGGUGAUUAAUACCGGAUACGACCACUUCUCGCAUGGGAUGGUGGUGGAAAGUUUUUUCGGCCAGGGAUGUGCUCGCGGCCUAUCAGCUUGAUGGUGAGGUAAUGGCUCACCAUGGCUGCGACGGGUAGCCGGCCUGAGAGGGUGACCGGUCACACUGGGACUGAGACACGGCCCAGACUCCUACGGGAGGCAGCAGUGGGGAAUAUUGGACAAUGGGCGGAAGCCUGAUCCAGCAACGCCGCGUGAGGGAUGACGGCCUUCGGGUUGUAAACCUCUUUCAGCAGGGACGAAGCGCAAGUGACGGUACCCGCAGAAGAAGCACCGGCCAACUACGUGCCAGCAGCCGCCGUAA
Molecule: ribosomal RNA, 481 nt
Filed under: uncultured bacterium
Lineage: Bacteria
Description: partial 16S ribosomal RNA
Rfam family: Bacterial small subunit ribosomal RNA
Source: RNAcentral